GUUGACGUUAAAAAUGAAGCAGUGAGCUGUUCACCCAUGACAUUUAGGAGCCCUUUCCAACACAAAAAAACCCAUAGGGUCACCCUUUGAGCCAGAAUGGGUAAAUUACUCUCAAAUCAGAUGUCAAGUCAUGUUUUGUCAGAUUUUUUUCCACUGGGAGUAGUCAAUUGGAAUGUAAAAUGAAUGUUUUGUUCUUCACAGGCAUGUUGCCCAGAAUGCAAGCUUUGACCCUUGAGGUUGGAUUUACUGAAAUAAGCCCACUAGCGCCACCUCCACCCAAACUGUGGGCUGAAAAGGGGGAAAAUUAUAGAGUUCCAGGGAAACUGCUUCAAAAUGAAAAAUAAAAGUAUAAAAAAGCUUGGAAAAAAAAAACUUCGGCAUUGUCGCAUGCAAACUGAGGGUUAUCAAGGCUUCAGAGAAGGACGUGCAUGUUAGAGGUUUCGGGGAGUGAGACCGAUGCAACCGGAAACUAAAACCAGGUGGAAAGGGGAGUGACAGGACUAGAGUAAGCCAUGACAGCUUACUGGUGACCUCUAGAAAAAAUAGUACUGAGAAGAAGAAGAAAAAUUAUAAUAAAGCAGCAAUUUGGUAUUUCAACAGUUUUCCAGCAGCGAAAGUGUCUCUGUGGGUAUGUAGCUCAAUUCGCACCAUACCUAAAUAGUUUCACUGUUAAUAAUCUCUCGCAGCAAUGAGGGCAACAAUAAUUACCUCAGUGCUGAGCAGAGGGGAUGUGGGCUGGUGAUUUAGCUAUCAUCCCCAAGGAAACUAAGCAGAAUCUCUGCGAGAGCAAAAUUCCCACAAUGCACCACUGUAUUUAUGAAGCAACCGCAGCUCUAAAGCACCUCGAGAGACACUGGCGAUAGACUCGCCAAUUGCAAGGAUCAUAUCUGUGGCUCAAGGCUACAAAAAUACCAGUGUAUAAACAUAGCAUAAAUAUGUUAAAAGUCACUGAUGCUUUGCAGCGCCCCAGGUUAAGGUUUUCAUUUUGCUCCUGUUGUGGAUAGACAGGAGUUUUUGACUGUGGUAGAAAGCAACAUGAGAUGAGCAAAUAACGCACGUUAAGUCAAAUCAGACCACAUUACACAUGGCUGACGCCUUUGAUUUUAGAAUGUUAGCCAACAUUUACAACAUGGCAUGAGAGAUGUGAUCACAUGACAAAAAAGUAAAACAGUUACGUACAUAGAAGACUUUUGCGAUUGAUACACACAAGCUUGCAUACAAGCACGCACUGGGAAUCCUGGAACUGGGA
Molecule: long non-coding RNA, 1249 nt
Organism: Puntigrus tetrazona (Sumatra barb)
Lineage: Eukaryota; Metazoa; Chordata; Actinopteri; Cypriniformes; Cyprinidae
Exons: 3
Source: RefSeq, a predicted model, not a curated record